Salvia hispanica is the source of this 103-nucleotide small nuclear RNA. Lineage: Eukaryota; Viridiplantae; Streptophyta; Magnoliopsida; Lamiales; Lamiaceae. The record is from RefSeq and is a predicted model, not a curated record.
GUCCCGUCGGGGACAUCCGAUAAAAUUGGAGCGACACAUAGAAGAUUAGCAUUUGCCCUGUGCAAGGAUGACAUACACAUGUCGAGAAAUAGUGUAGUGUAAU